CCAAUAGCGUAUAUUAAAGUUGUUGCAGUUAAAAAGCUCGUAGUUGAAUUUCGGGAUCAAGGAAUCGGUCAUGCCUUGGUAUGUACUGGUUUUAUUGGUUCUCACCUUCUAAAGAACCAUAAUGUCAUUUAUUUGAUGUUAUGGGGAAUUAGGACUGUUACCUUGAAAAAAUUAGAUUGUUUAAAGCAAGCUUACGCUCGAAUACAUUAGCAUGGAAUAAUGAAAUAGGACGUUUGAUCCUAUUUUGUUGGUUUCUAGGAUUGACGUAAUGAUUAAUAGGGAUAGUUGGGGGCAUUAGUAUUCAAUUGUCAGAGGUGAAAUUCUUGGAUUUAUUGAAGACUAACUACUGCGAAAGCAUUUGCCAAGGAUGUUUUCAUUAAUCAAGAACGAAAGUUAGGGGAUCGAAGACGAUCAGAUACCGUCGUAGUCUUAACCAUAAACUAUGCCGACUAGGGAUCGGAUGAUGUUAAUUUUUUAAUGACUCAUUCGGCGCCUUACG
This 499-nucleotide ribosomal RNA is filed under the name uncultured Glomeromycotina. RNAcentral's name for it is "partial small subunit ribosomal RNA". It matches the Rfam family "Eukaryotic small subunit ribosomal RNA", at positions 591 to 1092 of the family's 1831-position model. The record is from RNAcentral. Lineage: Eukaryota; Fungi; Glomeromycota.